GCAUAACCCUUCUUAGCAACAGCAAGCAGCUGAGCAGAAAGUAAUUGCAGGAGGCAGAGCCAAGAGGAAAACUGCUGAGAGUGCUGACGGAAAAUAUCCUGAGGAGAUAAUCAAGAUGUGCAGUCAAGAAUUUAUGAACAAAAGAUACUCACUGCAGAGCCAUAAUUGAGAAGAACUGGAAAGGACUUAACAUGCCUCCCAGGUGGGGCUUGGCUCUGCAAAUCCUCAUCUGACUCUAUGAUGGAAUGGGAUGCAUCCGGUCAUGCAGUCAUCCGUGCGACAAAUAGUUCUUCAGUACCUACUCUGCGUUAGGUAAACAAUGCAGAGUAUUGUUAACUUGGCUGGGUAAACAGUAAAUCCUAUGUCUGGGAGGUAACCCGAUCACCGCGGAAAGAACGCCGACAUGGAAAUCUUAGGAUUGGUUUCUCGUUCCAGGAAGUUGCGCUACUUUGGGCAAAUCACGUCACCUCUGGGACUGUUUCUAAUCAGAAUAAAGAAAGGGCUGGACCA
RNAcentral lists this long non-coding RNA (510 nucleotides) under Homo sapiens (human). RNAcentral's name for it is "HSALNT0187409". Lineage: Eukaryota; Metazoa; Chordata; Mammalia; Primates; Hominidae. The record is from RNAcentral.